AGAAGAAUCCAAGGACUAAGCCAUCGUGGCUUCAACCUAAAGGCUGGGAAGAGAAGACUCCACACAAGGAAACAGAGUCAGGAAGAGUUUACGAGGACUGAUUCAUUAGAGGAGAACCUGACUCCAUAUGGAGUGGAGACAGAUGUAAGGUCAAAGUUCUUCAGGAAACAGUGGAAUCUGAGGCCUAGGAGGAAAGUGUGCUUCAUAAGCAACAAGCACAAGUCUCCCCUGAAAGAUGAGAAAAGACAGACUCUGAGCACUCGUGUCGGGAGGACAAUAAACUGCUGGUAAGCAGUAAUCGUUUGUGAUCAGCUGAAUCUACCACAAAGAUCAGCAGCCACCCCUUGGGGAGGUACAUUUCCCAGUAGGAGCGGAAUGGCUCACUGCCACCAACUGCAGAGAGGAAGAAGUCAUCAAAUAAAUUCACAGCACUACAAAGAAGGGAGAAAAUGGAAACAGCAGAAAACUCCCGCACCCCGCACCACUGGCACUGGAGUAUUCAACUACACAUCAUCCCUAAGUGCAGGAGAAUCCCAUCCGGUGUCACAUCCUGCAAGAUCACUGCAUCAGCAGGGACCGAGGGUUCUGGCUGAAGAUGCAUGGUGAUGAGAAACAGAACUUACUCUCCAGGAACUCCAUUUGCUUAUCUUCAGAGUUGAUAUGAACUGCAUUAAAACCUUGGGUAGGAGCCGUACUGUGCUGGACUGUGUUGGAAGCCAGCAAGUGGAGGACACUGGUCUUUCCUGCUCCAUCCAGACCUAGUACUAGGAUCUGCUUAUUUUCUACCUGUGAAAUAAAAGAUAAAGCAG
Molecule: long non-coding RNA, 809 nt
Filed under: Mus pahari (shrew mouse)
Lineage: Eukaryota; Metazoa; Chordata; Mammalia; Rodentia; Muridae
Description: lncRNA (MGP_PahariEiJ_G0004514.1)
Source: RNAcentral